GGUGGCUUAGUGGUAGAGCACUUGCCUUGCAUGCAUGAGGCCCUGGGUUCGAUUCCUCAGUACCA
This 65-nucleotide transfer RNA is filed under the name Dipodomys ordii (Ord's kangaroo rat). It matches the Rfam family "tRNA". Rfam says of the family: Transfer RNA (tRNA) molecules are approximately 80 nucleotides in length. Lineage: Eukaryota; Metazoa; Chordata; Mammalia; Rodentia; Heteromyidae. The record is from Rfam by way of RNAcentral.